CUUCAGUCUGCUAAAUCCAUAUACAAACCCAUUUAAUUGAACUGAAUGUAAAUUGAUGUAACGCAUCUUUAAACUAAGUUUCAACAACGGAUCUCUUGGCUCUCGCAUUGAUGAAGAACGCAGCGAAAUGCGAUAAGUAAUGUGAAUUGCAGAAUUCAGUGAAUCAUCGAAUCUUUGAACGCACCUUGCGCUCCUUGGUAUUCCUUGGAGCAUGCCUGUUUGAGUAUCAUGAAAUUCUCAAAGUAAACCUUUUGUUAAUUCAACUGGUCUUUGCUUUGGAUUUGGAGGCCUUUGCAGAUGUCACAGUCUGCUCCUCUUAAAUAAAUUAGCUGGAUCUCAGUAUACACUUGGUUCCACUCGGCGUGAUAAGUAUCACUCGCUGAGGACACUGUUAAAAAGGUGGCCAGGCAAUGCAGAUGAACCGCUUCUAAUAGUCCAUUGACUUGGACAAAUUAAAAAUUUAUGAUCUGAUCUCAAAUCAGGUAGGACUACCCGCUGAACUUAAGCAUAUCAAUAA
This 517-nucleotide ribosomal RNA is filed under the name Rhizoctonia endophytica. RNAcentral describes it as "eukaryotic LSU rRNA". The stretch from base 76 to 229 matches the Rfam family "5.8S ribosomal RNA". Lineage: Eukaryota; Fungi; Basidiomycota; Agaricomycetes; Cantharellales; Ceratobasidiaceae. The record is from RNAcentral.